ACAUGAAGUAACGCAGCUUUAAAGUGCGAGAGCAUUGUGAACACAGCGGGGCUGCUUAAAAGCUAAUGGAGUGUUCUGAAAGAACCAGCUUGAGGGAAGCGAACACGGUCUUAAUAUUUCAUUCAUUGUUUAGCUCUCUACCGUGGCGCACGACCAAAGGAUUUGAAUUAUGCUUUGCAAGAUGAUGUUUCUUCUCCUGGUGGUUUUCUCCUUGAUCAAUUACCCUCUUGCUAAUUGUCAUCACAGCAGUGAUUCAGACAGUGAUGAGGGAAGCCGGAAAUCUCAUCAUUACAGCAGCGAGUCUGACAGUGAUGAGAGAGGCAAUCGUCACCCGUUACCUAAGUGGCCUUACUUCCCUGCCUGGCCGUUUCCUGGUCUGUGGCCGCUGCCACCACCAGCUCCUGCUACACCUCCACCCCCAACUCCAGCACCAACACCAAAACCAACAACAACAACAACAACAACAACAACAACAACAAAAACAACAAAAACAACAACAGUCACUCCUACCACUGAGCCACGAGGAGACAGCGGUUAAAUUGUACUGAUCUGAGAGCAGGAAUAACAGGCUGAGUGACUCAGUCAAAUGGAAAUGUAUGUGUUGAUUUUAUACAUUUCAUUUGUAUUUCAACAUGUUGCAAUGUUCGAACAAUGUGUUUUAUUAUGGGUUCCGCUACCUUUCCAUAUCCUCUUGCAUUUUUCAGUUGUCUACUUUCAUGCACUUUUAAUAUAUGUGUGGUCCUUUUUUUUAAUGCCACAGCCCAUCCAACAACCUAAAGAAUGUUGUGAUAUGUGUUUCAAAAGAUGUAAAAGAAACACCAGCACUUUUUUCAGGUUGUCAUUACGAGUUUUGUCUGAGGUUUGUCUGAGGAAGGCGUUGAAGACACCUGUGGGCGGUUGCUGUCGACACCCAGGUGCAUUAUCCACUCACUGGGCGCACACAUCACCAUCUGUGGAUCAACACAGCUUAAGAAAGGGCUGAGCACUGAGGCUUUAAUACAUGACUCUAUGCUUCAUCUGUCGCACUGUGCUUUCAUCAUGACUCGGCCAAUUCCUCCUCCUUGCUGCAUUUACCCACUUUAAUGUACACUUCAACAGUCCUCUCAGAAAUAUACACUAGUUGUUUAAAAGAGAUAUGUCAUGUUUUGUUUUCAUGUUUUUUGGCAAAAGAGUGAGUUUUGCACAGCUACUCUUAAGAAUGUAACUUUAUUUCCAAGUCUUUUCUAUUUUUAUUCCAGUCUUUUGUUUGUCGAUGUAAACCAGCCAUUCAACAGGCACAGGUUGGUGUGAAUCAUUGAGAACCAUGCACUGAAAAAGAAUGUUUUUUGAAAAUUUUGAAUGUUCAGGUUGUACUUUUCGGAUAAAACUCCUAAUCUGGUG
Molecule: long non-coding RNA, 1380 nt
Organism: Gasterosteus aculeatus aculeatus (three-spined stickleback)
Lineage: Eukaryota; Metazoa; Chordata; Actinopteri; Perciformes; Gasterosteidae
Source: RefSeq, a predicted model, not a curated record